GGUGUUGUGGCUCAGUGGUAGAGCACACUUGCCUCACAUGUGUGGGGCAUGUGGUUCGAUCCUCACCACCA
Molecule: transfer RNA, 71 nt
Filed under: Marmota monax (woodchuck)
Lineage: Eukaryota; Metazoa; Chordata; Mammalia; Rodentia; Sciuridae
Description: tRNA.Val
Source: RNAcentral